UGAGGAAUAUUGGUCAAUGGGCGCUAGCCUGAACCAGCCAAGUAGCGUGCAGGACGACGGCCCUAUGGGUUGUAAACUGCUUUUAUGCGGGGAUAAAGUCACCCACGUGUGGGUGUUUGCAGGUACCGUAUGAAUAAGGACCGGCUAAUUCCGUGCCAGCAGCCGCGGUAAUACGGAAGGUCCGGGCGUUAUCCGGAUUUAUUGGGUUUAAAGGGAGCGUAGGCCGUAGAUUAAGUGUGUUGUGAAAUGUAGACGCUCAACGUCUGACUUGCAGCGCAUACUGGUUUACUUGAGUUUGCACAACGUUGGCGGAAUUCGUCGUGUAGCGGUGAAAUGCUUAGAUAUGACGAAGAACUCCGAUUGCGAAGGCAGCUUGCGGGAGCAAAACUGACGCUGAAGCUCGAAAGUGCGGGUAUCGAACAGG
Molecule: ribosomal RNA, 424 nt
Filed under: Verrucomicrobiota bacterium
Lineage: Bacteria; Pseudomonadati; Verrucomicrobiota
Description: Verrucomicrobia bacterium partial 16S ribosomal RNA
Rfam family: Bacterial small subunit ribosomal RNA
Source: RNAcentral